Molecule: ribosomal RNA, 336 nt
Filed under: Triticum aestivum (bread wheat)
Lineage: Eukaryota; Viridiplantae; Streptophyta; Magnoliopsida; Poales; Poaceae
Description: partial small subunit ribosomal RNA
Source: RNAcentral
AUGUUAGAACAAAACCUGAAUAUUCUGAGUUGGAAUGUCCGAGGCUUGAAUUGUCCUGAUCGUCGUGCUACCAUUCACGAGACCAUCGCAGCUACUCCGUGCCACCUUGUCUGUUUACAAGAGACCAAGCUCGAGCUGGUUGACCCUUUCAUUGCUGCAUUUCUAGGGGGAUAUAGACUUAAGAGCUUUGCUCAACGCCCAGCCCUGGGCACCCGUGGGGGCAUCCUGCUUCUCUGGGAUGAGAAUUUUGUCUUUGUCAAUGAUGUUAGCAUCGGAGCCUUUUUCCUUUCGGCCACUGUCACCAUCACCUCUUCGAGCACAUCCUUCAAGCUAACA